RNAcentral lists this ribosomal RNA (253 nucleotides) under uncultured Methylobacter sp. RNAcentral describes it as "partial 16S ribosomal RNA". It matches the Rfam family "Bacterial small subunit ribosomal RNA", at positions 524 to 776 of the family's 1533-position model. Lineage: Bacteria; Pseudomonadati; Pseudomonadota; Gammaproteobacteria; Methylococcales; Methylococcaceae. The record is from RNAcentral.
UACGGAGGGUGCGAGCGUUAAUCGGAAUUACUGGGCGUAAAGCGUGCGUAGGCGGUUGCUUAAGUCAGAUGUGAAAGCCCCGGGCUUAACCUGGGAACUGCAUUUGAUACUGGGUGACUAGAGUUUAGUAGAGGAGAGUGGAAUUUCAGGUGUAGCGGUGAAAUGCGUAGAGAUCUGAAGGAACACCAGUGGCGAAGGCGACUCUCUGGACUAAAACUGACGCUGAGGUACGAAAGCGUGGGUAGCAAACAGG